CGCGAGCGAGUCGUCUGCCGUUGCGUGUCGUUGUUGUCGCGCGUGUCGAUCAUCUCUCGGAGUUCGUGCGAGAAAAUCGGAGCGCAUAAACUGAUCCCCGCGAUAACUGCCUUCCCGUAGCUGUGAAGUGGCCGAACCCGAGUAACCCGGGUCUCUGCCCUCGGUGCGAAUCGCCGCGACCGCAGGCAGGCGUCGUCGUCGUUGACGGAGCCAGCGAGCGACGAACGGACGGACGGACGGACACGGUUGAAGAUGUGCGGCGGUUUUACGUGCUCGAAAAAUGCGCUGACAGCACUCAACAUCCUCUACAUCGUUGUUGCCUUUAUAUUGAUAGGAGUUGCUGUGUAUGGAAGGGCAUCCGCCUUAGUGACGAAUCUACCUAUUAUAGGUGGUAUUUUGGCAUGCGGGGUGAUCCUGUUCCUCAUUUCUAUACUGGGCCUGAUCGGUGCUGUUAAACACCAUCAGGUCUUGCUGUUCUUCUACAUGCUUAUUUUGUUCCUUUUGUUCCUGAUUCAAUUCAGCAUCGCCUGCGCCUGCCUUGCUGUCAAUACUAAGCAACAAGAACAGCUUGCAGAACAGGGCUGGAGACACGUCGGACCUGACUUAAGGGCAAAAGUUCAAACUACCUUUAACUGCUGUGGAUUUAAUAGCACUACCGAUGAUCCAAGUGUACCUUGCGAUGAUGUCAAUAAAGUGUGUUGUCAAUCCGUCGAUAUCGGUCAGUCUUGUCCACCUUGUCCAACGUGUAUGCACAAGUUGCAGUCCACCAUUGACUAUGCGUUCAAAUUAUGCGGCAGUAUAGGAUUAUUCUUUAGUUUUACAGAGUUUGUUGGUGUAUGGUUGACCGUGAGGUACCGGAACCAGAAAGAUCCACGAGCUAAUCCUAGUGCUUUUCUCUAGUCUAACACCAUCGCCAUGUCCUCUGUCACUUCAUACGAUCCUCCUAACAGAUGGUGAUUGCAGCUUUCAUGGCAAGACAUUAUCGUAAUCAAUUAGAUCCACAAGAAAAAGCUGCAAGAGCCAUUUUUCCACAGCACAAUUAUUUAUAUUGAUUUAGCGAUACAUUCGAAUAGAAAAUCAAUAAUCUUUCUUUUUACUCGUAUUAUACGUACGAUAUGUAUUUUGGUCGAUAUGAAGAGGGGACAAAUAUCUGUAAUUAAUUUUAAUUUUGAUUGCCUGGAUAUGUGUUAUGCGACAUAUUUUCCAAGAUUUAAGUUUCAAACUUUUUCUUUUAAUUCUCUAAAUCUUUUUAAUUAUACAUGCUCAAUAGUGACAGAAGUUAAUACAUUUUUUAACUGGGCAAUCAUAGAUUUUAGAAUGAGUUAGACAAAUAAUUGAACUGUGCUCUAGUCAUAUACUUAGAACACUCAUAACAAGCCUCAAUGCGCCUUGUAGUCUAGUGACAGAAAACAUCGCGUAAGUAUAAAUUUCGUUGCAUUAUUUUCUUCAACACGUCCUUGACGAUAAUGGAAGUUGGCGAUGUGAAAAAUAGUAGUGUCAUAAUUGUAUCGUUUGGUUCCACAAUACGGAUAAACUACAACAUUUAAAGCUAUUCUAAAAGAUAUCGAAAAUAACGAAAAAACCGGUAUAUAUGCAGUGAUAUCCAUUUUUUUAAAUAUAUUUUCAUGAGAGAAUGUAGUUUAUCAUGGUAAAAGUAUAGAUAACAUCUACGAUCUUGUCAAUCAUAUUUUUCUCCCAUCUCUACAAGUGAAUCAUUAGAUAUAUAAUUAUAUUUAAUUAUACCUAGAAAUUUAUAUCUUCCUGAAGAAAAAUUCUGUCAUAUCAUCUUUGAGUACUUUUAGAUAACUUUAUAAUAUUUUUAUGUCUCUGCAAAGAGGUUCUUUUUUAUAUUUUAAAAUGUUCUACAGCGUUACGAUGUGUGAUUUCUGUUUAAGAAAUUGUAAAUCAAAAUAAUCGGAAGAGAAAUUGUAAUAUACUCUCACAACAAAUGAUAUCUAACUUGGAUGAAACUUGGCUUGCUUUCGACAGCUUUCAUACACUUGCUUAUGAUAUCGCGUGAUAGAGACUCACAUGAUAAGAAGUUAUACUUGAAGCGUAUAACCAUCGAAUUAUUUAUGUUAUGAUAAUGCCGUCAACAAGAUAAUAUAAAAUCUAUCGUAUUUCAAGUUUCAUCCACCAAAAAUAUUCAAUGCGAGUGCUUUGCUUGAAAUUAAAUUCUAUGCUGAUUAUACAUUUUGAGAAAAUUUACGCAUAAUAAGCUGAAUAUAAGACGUCCUAAACAACCUGGUGGGAAGUUAUUAAAAAACUAAUAGUCUCGCUUUUUUGCAGGGUUUUUAAUGAGUUCUCGUACGCUUUUAAGCUUUUGUGGUCGUAAGGAGGAGUUGAAAGGGAAGUAUUUAGAUCAUCUUAUCAAAUAUUACUGAACAUGAUCGCAUUUAAUGGGAGCGAAAAUUGUAUUUUAUUCGUAAUGAAAGAUGACAUUUGUUUAAUGACUUGUGAGAUAAUAUCCUUCCAGGUUUUUUCGGACAAGAUUUGCAUAAGAUAGGUAAAACUCGUUACAAGAGACACAGUGUUGUGAAUUAAUGUGCAUGAAAAUAUUGUACGUUUACAUCGUGCCCUAUAUUCUAGGUAUUAGAGAAUAUAGCAUAUUUUCUAUCCAAUCCCGUCGCGUGAGACGCAGAUGGGACGAAUCUCGUUGUAGUUAUGUUUCCGAGAGUCUCUUUGUUUGAAAAAAGCAUGUGUUAAGAUAUUUUAUUACAAUUAUAUCACGUCUUCGAUGUUCAAUAACGAAUUGAACUUGUUGCUUUAUCGUGUUUAAAUUCUAAGAAUACAAUAGAACAAAAAUUGAACAAAAUGGAAUUUGUUAUUGAAUGAUAAAAUUGUAGUUUGACGUCGCACGUUUGAUGAUUUUUUUUUUAUUUGUGGAAUAUGUUGCUUUCACAAAUUUUCCAAUAUCGUUCCAACGAACGGUGCGAGUUCGCGCAAAUUCACGAAGUUAUGCCAGUCACGUUUUACGAAUAGUGGAAAAUAACCCGUGGAUAUAUCUUCCGACGUAAGCGUAUGAGAUAAAAUCACGCAAACAUUCCAAUUUUUUUUAUGCGCCUCUCUCCCCCGGCUUUGGUAGAAAACGUGUAUGUACCAUAUGUACUUUGCACGUGCACGGAAUAGAAAACUCGUACGAGAAUAUAUAUAUAUAUAUAUAUAUAUAUAUAUAUUAUAUAUAUACGGUAGUGUAAUUCCUAUAUACAUAUUUUUACCUAAAAAGAAAAUACGUAUCCAUUCAUAAUUAGACUUAACCUACUGUACGUAUGUCCUGAGAGGUAAGAACAAUCGAGACAUGCACGUGGGAGUGAUUCACACGCAAGUUAUUAUGUGUGUUAUUAUACUGAAAGAUGGAACGACGUAAGCUGCGCCCGAUUAUAUUAUAUGUAUAAUGUGCGUGCGUGUGAGAGAGGAAUCUCUCAAAAUCAAAAUCUGAUAUGUGGAAGGAGGUUUGAGUAUUCGACAAUCCUAGGUGACGGAAAUCAUGUACUGUACACAUCAGAGAUCAUAUUCGAAUUAUAUUCAAUUUAUCUGCUCACCGAAUGUCCCAAUUCAGUUCUGUAGAUUCAUUCUUUGUAAUCGCGUGUUACAUCAUCACACCUAAAGUUAAAAUAAAAUAGAAACGUAUAUAUAUAAUUGAGUGUUGGGCGGUGAAAGAUAGAAAGUGCAAAGGGCGAUAUGUCAUGUAUAUCAUCUCCAAAGAAUUCGAGGCAUCGCCUAACCCGAAGAUUCGAAAUUUAUCGAGUUUCGAGAGUACGACGUUUAAGUCCGAUAUUCGCGCAUUCCGCAACAGACGACAAACAAUCUCGAAUAUGUUAAGCAUGAGGAUUUAAAGAAUUUUAGUUACGAGAUAGCGAAGCAUAUUAUGUAUGCAUGGCGCCGAAGAAAUAUCGAGGGCUAAACGAUUAUGAGCAAUAGAGUCUUAAGUGUUAGAACUCUCGUGUAACGCGAUUGCGAUAAUAAAUAGAUGGCGGCUCGGAUGUUAUGUAUGUAUUUAAUGUUGGUGGAAGUAUCUCUUGAACACAAUCGAAAUCGAGAGAUGCGCCUAUUAAAAAUAUACCAAAUUCACGAAACAA
RNA transcript from Monomorium pharaonis (pharaoh ant), 4079 nucleotides. It is a transcript of the gene named tetraspanin-13, with no coding region annotated. Lineage: Eukaryota; Metazoa; Arthropoda; Insecta; Hymenoptera; Formicidae. The record is from RefSeq and is a predicted model, not a curated record. The transcript is spliced from 7 exons.